Molecule: ribosomal RNA, 492 nt
Filed under: uncultured bacterium
Lineage: Bacteria
Description: partial 16S ribosomal RNA
Rfam family: Bacterial small subunit ribosomal RNA
Source: RNAcentral
AGUGAACGCUGGCGGUAGGCCUAACACAUGCAAGUCGAACGGCAGCACAGUAAGAGCUUGCUCUUACGGGUGGCGAGUGGCGGACGGGUGAGGAAUACAUCGGAAUCUACUUUUUCGUGGGGGAUAACGUAGGGAAACUUACGCUAAUACCGCAUACGUCCUACGGGUGAAAGCAGGGGAUCUUCGGACCUUGCGCGAUUGAAUGAGCCGAUGUCGGAUUAGCUAGUUGGCGGGGUAAAGGCCCACCAAGGCGACGAUCCGUAGCUGGUCUGAGAGGAUGAUCAGCCACACUGGAACUGAGACACGGUCCAGACUCCUACGGGAGGCAGCAGUGGGGACUAUUGGGCAAUGGGCGAAAGCCUGAUCCAGCCAUACCGCGUGAGUGAAGAAGGCCUUCGGGUUGUAAAGCCCUGUUGUUGGGAAAGAAAAGCAGCAGGUUAAUCCCCCGCUGUUCCGACGGUACCCAAAGAAUAAGCACCGGCUAACUUCGUG